Long non-coding RNA from Helianthus annuus (common sunflower), 2276 nucleotides. RefSeq lists it as uncharacterized. The transcript is spliced from 3 exons. The record is from RefSeq and is a predicted model, not a curated record. Lineage: Eukaryota; Viridiplantae; Streptophyta; Magnoliopsida; Asterales; Asteraceae.
ACGACAAAGCCCUUGUCCUUGAGCCCAACAAGGGGGGAGACUCCAGUUAAAUCUACACAAGCGUGUUUCUAAUCAUAUUCAUGGUAGAGUUAAAGACCCUAGAUGAAAUUCGGAGAUAGCAGAGACGAAGGUUUGAGGAACUAAGGUUCCAGCGGAUCUUCAGCGAGAUUUCUGGUAAGAUUAGCUUCGCUUGCAUGUCUUCUUUUCGAACAGAUCGGCUCAUUGGGAGAUGGUUGAGAUUGAGUUUAAUAUUUCAGUUUCCGGCGAGGUUUCCAGACACACUCCAUGUUGGUGAUGGAGUCACAUUUCUUGAGGUUCAAAAUAAAAGGGAGUCACAUUUCUAAAGGCUGCCAAGAAGGAAGUUAUGAUGAUGUUAUAGUUGAAUUUUCAGAUCCGAAACGUAUACCCCUAUAGACGUUUCAUUUUUAAGCAUUUACCUAACAAUGGUCUAAGGCGCCAGACUCAAGUUCUGGUAUUCGGGAAAGGCGUGGGUUCAAAUCAUUACAUUUUUGAUUCAGUCAUCACUACAUUGAUUGUUAAAAAUAAUUUUAAGCUAUAAUGUGUUUUGUUGGAAAUAGCAUCAUAGUAACAACCAAAGAUUCUUGCAUAUAAAUUCUCCUGAAUAUGUGCUAGAUUUCAUAACCGUAUCAUCUUACUUCAAACAUCAAACAUGUACUUAUCUGAGUGGAUGGUUUCACAAGAUGAGUUUGAAUCAGCGAAGCGAGUAUGUAAUCAGCUUAUACUAAAAAGGAAAAAAAGAAGGCAUAAUGUUUUCAACCGGAGGCAUUGUUUUAUUGUAAAUACAUAAUUUGAUGUAUUUUGACCCAUAUGUGUGUGAAUAAAAUGACAAAUUCCGACAAAUCCGCUUGAUUCAUUCUGUUAGCGGAUCGCACACACACCCCGCUUGGUUCCAUUCUGUUCUGGCCACGAUCAAGGUAACCGUAUAUUACUUUGUUUUGUUCUUAAAAUUGGGUUUCUAUUAUACACUUUAUUUUCUUCUUAUUAUAUACAUAUUUUAUAUCAUAUGUAUAUAAAAUUAUCGCCACGUUAAACCUAUAUCAGAUCAUUUGAUCAGAGCAGUGGGACCGAGAACUGACCUCUAUGCCGAUUUUGUUCGUACGGGUUGAGCCUCCAACAGAUGAACCAGUUGUUUUUUAUACUUUGCAGCUAAAUCGGUAAACUAUGGACCGUGUUGAUUCCUAUCUUGAUUUUAACCAUCGAACCAGUAGAGCGUCUGAUUAGGUUUUUAUGUGUAACCGACCCAUCGUUGCUUGGAGAUGCUGGUGAGCUAGAGAUCCGUAUCAAACCCGACCCAGAAAAAGAGACCAUCAAGAUUUCGUUAGGUUCUUUACUUUUCUAGAAGCUUCCAUUGCAUAGUGAAAGCGAUAUCUGUAAUAAUAUUUUUGAUUGUUUUUUAGAGAUACCGGUAUUGGAAUGACUAGAAAAGAGCUAAUACACCACCUUGGAACUAUUGUUCAAAGUGGCACUUCUAAGUUCUUAAAGGCUCUUAAGGACAACAAGGAUCUUGGAAGUGAUAAUAGUUUGAUCGGUGAAUUUGGUGUGUAGGGUUUUAUUCGGCUUUUUUGGUUGCUGAAAAGGUCCAAAAUACGUUUCCUCCCUGAACUGUUGUUAUUAUGCUCACUUUGUUUUGAAAUACCUAUUUUAUUCAAAUAGGUGAGUGUGUCUACAUAGAGUCCAAAUCAGACAAACAAUACAUUUGGGAAGCAUCAGCUCAUAUGUAAUUAAAGAAGAAACUGACCCCGAAAAGCAGCUUCGCCGUGGGAAUCGGUUUUAAAACUGAACUGAUCAUAUUGUGUAGCCUAUCAGUGCCAAAGCUCAAGGCUAAAGGAAGGUUGCUAGAGAAACAAAGACUAAUGUCGUUUACAUCAAUGGGAACCCAACAGUUUGUUUACGGCAGAACAAUGCAGUAUAUUUACAAAGAUUACGAGUAUGAAGUUUAUGAUCACAACUUUGUUGAUGACGUGUCUGCAGCCUUAUAAUCAUGUAAGUUUUUUGUGAUCCAAAUGAAAUAAACCAAAAGAAACAUUAAAGAUUUUUGUGUCCAUAUAGCCAUAUCUCAAACAACAUCAGCCAAUUUCUUUUUAGGCUCACGAAGGGCAUUUUGAAGAUUUUGGUGGAAGGGUUAUGCAAAUGGGAUAGUGCACUUUCAAAGUUAACAAAGAUUAAAUCAAAAUAAACCAAUUUUUAAAACAUGUUGAAUUGCCAUGUAAAUAUAUUGAUUUACAGCUAAGAAUGAAUAUCGAUAAAUUAAAGAA